GGAGAAAAAAAAUACUAAUAUCAAAUAAGAGGGAAUAAUUGAGCAAAGGGGUGUAAAUCUGGUUUGGAGUGCAAAUAACAAGUUGAUUGGGCCCGAGGGGCGCAAGGCACAUGGCCUUGUACAACUUUGGCAUGUGAGGUGCACAUAGUGAUGACAAGGUGCGAAGAGUAAUCUAUGAAGGACCUAAUGUCAAGGUUGUCCCAAUCUGUCCUUAUGAAUGGAGGGAGUUCAAUCCAAUCUCACAUAACACGUUCAUAAAC
Molecule: long non-coding RNA, 260 nt
Filed under: Lathyrus oleraceus (garden pea)
Lineage: Eukaryota; Viridiplantae; Streptophyta; Magnoliopsida; Fabales; Fabaceae
Description: Pisum sativum (pea) long non-coding RNA (PSAT_LNC028652)
Source: RNAcentral